This 1703-nucleotide ribosomal RNA is filed under the name uncultured eukaryote. RNAcentral's name for it is "partial small subunit ribosomal RNA". It matches the Rfam family "Eukaryotic small subunit ribosomal RNA". The record is from RNAcentral.
UGUCUAAGUAUAAACAAUUUUAUACUUGUGAAACUGCGAAUGGCUCAUUAAAUCAGUUAUAGUUUAUUUGAUAGUGCCUUACUACUUGGAUAACCGUGGUAAUUCUAGAGCUAAUACAUGCAACAAAUCCCGACUUUUGGAAGGGAUGUAUUUAUUAGAUAAAAAACCAAACCGGGGAGCAAUCCCCGGUGCUUGAUGAUUCAUAAUAACUUGACGGAUCGCAUGGCCUUGUGCUGGCGAUGAAUCAUUCAAAUUUCUGCCCUAUCAAGUUUCGAUGGUAGGGUAGUGGCCUACCAUGCUUGUGACGGGUAACGGAGAAUUAGGGUUCGAUUCCGGAGAGGGAGCCUGAGAAACGGCUACCACAUCCAAGGAAGGCAGCAGGCGCGCAAAUUACCCAAUCUCGACACGAGGAGGUAGUGACAAAACGUAACAACACAGGGCUUUGAUAAGUCUUGUGAUUGGAAUGAGUACAAUUUAAAACCCUUAACGAGGAUAAUUGGGGGGCAAGUCUGGUGCCAGCAGCCGCGGUAAUUCCAGCUCCAAUAGCGUAUAUUAAUGCUGUUGCAGUUAAAAAGCUCGUAGUUGGAUUUCAGGACGGAGCAACUGGUCCGCCUUCGGGUGUGUACUUGUUGGUCUGUUCUUCCGUCCAAGGAAGAUUUCUGCUUCGGCGGGAUACUUAGGCCCGUUACUUUGAAAAAAUUAGAGUGUUCAAAGCAGGCCAAUGCCUUGAAUACAUUAGCAUGGAAUAACAGAAUAGGACUUUGGUUCUAUUUUGUUGGUUUCUAGGACCAAAGUAAUGAUUAAUAGGGAUAGUUGGGGGCAUUAAUAUUUCAUUGUCAGAGGUGAAAUUCUUGGAUUUAUGAAAGAUUAACUUCUGCGAAAGCAUUUGCCAAGGAUGUUUUCAUUAAUCAAGAACGAAAGUUAGGGGAUCGAAGACGAUCAGAUACCGUCGUAGUCUUAACCAUAAACUAUGCCGACUAGGGAUUGGUGGACGUCUCUUUUGUGACUCCAUCAGCAUCUUAUGAGAAAUCAAAGUUUGUGGGUUCUGGGGGGAGUAUGGUCGCAAGGCUGAAACUUAAAGGAAUUGACGGAAGGGCACCCCCAGGAGUGGAGCCUGCGGCUUAAUUUGACCCAACACGGGAAAACUCACCAGGUCCAGACACAGUUAGGAAUUGACAGAUUGAGAGCUCUUUCUGAUUCUAUGGGUGGUGGUGCAAGGCCGUUCUUAGUUGGUGGAGGGGAUUUGUCUGCUUAAAUUGCGAUAACGAACGAGACCUUAACCUACUAAAUAGUUAUGCCAAGCUUCUGCUUGGUCGUAACUUCUUAGAGGGACAAUACAAGUCAAUUGUAUGGAAGUUUGAGGCAAUAACAGGUCUGUGAUGCCCUUAGAUGUUCUGGGCCGCACGCGCGCUACACUGACGAAAUCAACGAGUUUCACCUAGACCGAUAGGUCGGGGUAAUCUUUUAAACUUUCGUCGUGCUGGGGAUAGACUAUUGCAAUUAUUAGUCUUCAACGAGGAAUUCCUAGUAAGCACAAGUCAUCAGCUUGUGCUGAUUACGUCCCUGCCCUUUGUACACACCGCCCGUCGCUCCUACCGAUGGAUGAUCCGGUGAAAUUUUCAGACCGUCGCUUUGUAGUCGGCAACGACAGCAUCGUGACGGGAAGUUACUUUAACCUUAAUAUCUAGAGGAAGGAAAAGGCG